RNAcentral lists this ribosomal RNA (446 nucleotides) under uncultured bacterium. Its description in RNAcentral is "bacterial SSU rRNA". It matches the Rfam family "Bacterial small subunit ribosomal RNA", at positions 329 to 792 of the family's 1533-position model. The record is from RNAcentral.
UUCCAGACUCCUACGGGAGGCAGCAGUGGGGAAUAUUGCACAAUGGGGGAAACCCUGAUGCAGCGACGCCGCGUGAGUGAGGAAGUAUUUCGGUAUGUAAAGCUCUAUCAGCAGGGAAGAAAAUGACGGUACCUGACUAAGAAGCCCCGGCUAACUACGUGCCAGCAGCCGCGGUAAUACGUAGGGGGCAAGCGUUAUCCGGAUUUACUGGGUGUAAAGGGAGCGUAGACGGAAUUGCAAGUCUGAUGUGAAAAUCCGGGGCCCAACCCCGGAACUGCAUUGGAAACUGUAUUUCUAGAGUGUCGGAGAGGCAAGUGGAAUUCCUGGGGUAGCGGUGAAAGGCGUAGAUAUAAGGAGGAACACCAGUGGCGAAGGCGGUCUGCUGGACAGCAACUGACGGUGAGGCGCGAAAGCGUGGGGAGCAAACAGGAUUAGAUACCCUAGUA